This 787-nucleotide ribosomal RNA is filed under the name uncultured Acinetobacter sp. Its description in RNAcentral is "bacterial SSU rRNA". It matches the Rfam family "Bacterial small subunit ribosomal RNA", at positions 57 to 839 of the family's 1533-position model. Lineage: Bacteria; Pseudomonadati; Pseudomonadota; Gammaproteobacteria; Moraxellales; Moraxellaceae. The record is from RNAcentral.
GCAGUCGAGCGGGCGAGGUUGCUUCGGUAACUGAGCUAGCGGCGGACGGGUGAGUAAAGCUUAGGAAUCUGCCUAUUAGUGGGGGACAACAUUCCGAAAGGAAUGCUAAUACCGCAUACGUCCUACGGGAGAAAGCAGGGGAUCUUCGGACCUUGCGCUAAUAGAUGAGCCUAAGUCAGAUUAGCUAGUUGGUGGGGUAAAGGCCUACCAAGGCGACGAUCUGUAGCGGGUCUGAGAGGAUGAUCCGCCACACUGGGACUGAGACACGGCCCAGACUCCUACGGGAGGCAGCAGUGGGGAAUAUUGGACAAUGGGCGGAAGCCUGAUCCAGCCAUGCCGCGUGUGUGAAGAAGGCCUUUUGGUUGUAAAGCACUUUAAGCGAGGAGGAGGCUACCUAGAUUAAUACUCUGGGAUAGUGGACGUUACUCGCAGAAUAAGCACCGGCUAACUCUGUGCCAGCAGCCGCGGUAAUACAGAGGGUGCGAGCGUUAAUCGGAUUUACUGGGCGUAAAGCGUGCGUAGGCGGCUUCUUAAGUCGGAUGUGAAAUCCCUGAGCUUAACUUAGGAAUUGCAUUCGAUACUGGGAAGCUAGAGUAUGGGAGAGGAUGGUAGAAUUCCAGGUGUAGCGGUGAAAUGCGUAGAGAUCUGGAGGAAUACCGAUGGCGAAGGCAGCCAUCUGGCCUAAUACUGACGCUGAGGUACGAAAGCAUGGGGAGCAAACAGGAUUAGAUACCCUGGUAGUCCAUGCCGUAAACGAUGUCUACUAGCCGUUGGGGCCUUUGAGGCU